GUUUGUUGGUUGUAGGUAGACACAAUACCUUUAUUUUAUUUAUUUAUUUUUAUGUGGUGCUGAGGAUCAAACCCAGGGCCUCACACGUGCAAGGCGAGCACUCUGCCACUGAGCCACAACCCUAGCCCCCCUUUAUUAUUACUUUUAUGUGUUGCUGAGUAUUGAACCCAUGCCUCACAUGUGCUAGGCAAGCACUCUACCACUGAGCUACAGCCUGAGCUCCUGAUUAAAUUCUUGUUAAAUAGAAGCUUCAAACAAAGACUCCUGGAGGAUAAUGGGACCCACAGAGAAUGCAGGUUAGACACAAUGAGGACAGAAAAGAAAUGACAGGAUGGGUAGUCGGUUAGAGACUACAUGUUUAAGUUAUUGCCCCCCCCCCAAAGGGUUCAUCAAAUUAAGACUUCUGAGAUCCACUAGCCUAGGAGUUACAGAGAUGGGAUGGCCAGGAGUAAAAUGAUGGCCUUGCCUCUGAUGGCUGGGCAUAGUGGUGCAUGCCUUUAAUUCCAGUGACUGGUGACUGGGGAGGCUGAGGCUGGAGGAUCACAAGUUCAAGGACAGCCUGGGCAGAGUAGUGGGACCCUAACUCAAAAAAGGGCUGUGGAUGUUGCUCAAUGGUACAAUGCUCCUGGGUUCAAUCCUCAGUACCCUGCCUCCCCCAUAUACACACACGAAGAAGACUUUUUAAAAUUAUAUUAUUGUAUUUUAAUACCUUUUUUUAUUUUUAUGUGGUGCUGUGGAUCCAACCCAGUACUCUACCACUGAGGUACAACCACAGCCCCCAAAAGAUUGUUUUUUACCUUGAAGGAUGAGGCAUGGAUCCAGACUUAGUAGGGAAAAGAGUUUCAGGAAAGGACUCAAAGCCUUCUCUGUCCUGUUUGGAAUGUUGCCAUUGUAUUCAGAGGAAACUUAUGUGAAAUCCAUUUUGACCUGUCAAUAAAUACUUUUAAAAGUAUUACUACUGAAUGAUUCAGGGGGGUAUAGUAAAAUAAAGGCUUUCACUUAAUUCAUAGGAGGGUAAAUGAGUAUAUUCUUUUUUUAAGUGAAAUAGAGUAUUCCAGUCACUCUAACUGUAUGCAAAUAAAUAUUUAGUUUAAGCAAUAGUCCCUUGUGAGUCUAAUUAGUAAGCCCAGUUUUAGAGUACACUGACAGAUAAAUGGAGAAGCAGACCUUCUGAGACAGGAACUAUGUAGCCGCAUGGUCCUUUUCUUUCUCUGUUUUGGUUGUAAUUGCAAGUAGUCUCAUCCUUGAUUAUCCAUCUUAUACACAUGCAUUAUUUCACACCAAGGGAGAAUUUCCAGAUAUUUUGGAAACCCCAAAUAUUUUUUUCUUGUUUGUCCUGGUUUUGAUCUAUGCGGAUACUAAUAAAACCCUUAGAACCAUCCACUCUAUUUCAUGCCAAUCUCAUGUAAUCUUUCCACUUUCCUGGGAGUGCCCCAAG
Molecule: long non-coding RNA, 1438 nt
Filed under: Marmota monax (woodchuck)
Lineage: Eukaryota; Metazoa; Chordata; Mammalia; Rodentia; Sciuridae
Source: RNAcentral